GAUGAACGCUGGCGGCGUGCCUAAUACAUGCAAGUCGAGCGAACGGACGAGAAGCUUGCUUCUCUGAUGUUAGCGGCGGACGGGUGAGUAACACGUGGAUAACCUACCUAUAAGACUGGGAUAACUUCGGGAAACCGGAGCUAAUACCGGAUGAUAUUUUGAACCGCAUGGUUCAAAAGUGAAAGACGGUCUUGCUGUCACUUAUAGAUGGAUCCGCGCUGCAUUAGCUAGUUGGUAAGGUAACGGCUUACCAAGGCAACGAUGCAUAGCCGACCUGAGAGGGUGAUCGGCCACACUGGAACUGAGACACGGUCCAGACUCCUACGGGAGGCAGCAGUAGGGAAUCUUCCGCAAUGGGCGAAAGCCUGACGGAGCAACGCCGCGUGAGUGAUGAAGGUCUUCGGAUCGUAAAACUCUGUUAUUAGGGAAGAACAUAUGUGUAAGUAACUAUGCACAUCUUGACGGUACCUAAUCAGAAAGCCACGGCUAACUACGUGCCAGCAGCCGCGGUAAUACGUAGGUGGCAAGCGUUAUCCGGAAUUAUUGGGCGUAAAGCGCGCGUAGGCGGUUUUUUAAGUCUGAUGUGAAAGCCCACGGCUCAACCGUGGAGGGUCAUUGGAAACUGGAAAACUUGAGUGCAGAAGAGGAAAGUGGAAUUCCAUGUGUAGCGGUGAAAUGCGCAGAGAUAUGGAGGAACACCAGUGGCGAAGGCGACUUUCUGGUCUGUAACUGACGCUGAUGUGCGAAAGCGUGGGGAUCAAACAGGAUUAGAUACCCUGGUAGUCCACGCCGUAAACGAUGAGUGCUAAGUGUUAGGGGGUUUCCGCCCCUUAGUGCUGCAGCUAACGCAUUAAGCACUCCGCCUGGGGAGUACGACCGCAAGGUUGAAACUCAAAGGAAUUGACGGGGACCCGCACAAGCGGUGGAGCAUGUGGUUUAAUUCGAAGCAACGCGAAGAACCUUACCAAAUCUUGACAUCCUUUGACAACUCUAGAGAUAGAGCCUUCCCCUUCGGGGGACAAAGUGACAGGUGGUGCAUGGUUGUCGUCAGCUCGUGUCGUGAGAUGUUGGGUUAAGUCCCGCAACGAGCGCAACCCUUAAGCUUAGUUGCCAUCAUUAAGUUGGGCACUCUAAGUUGACUGCCGGUGACAAACCGGAGGAAGGUGGGGAUGACGUCAAAUCAUCAUGCCCCUUAUGAUUUGGGCUACACACGUGCUACAAUGGACAAUACAAAGGGCAGCGAAACCGCGAGGUCAAGCAAAUCCCAUAAAGUUGUUCUCAGUUCGGAUUGUAGUCUGCAACUCGACUACAUGAAGCUGGAAUCGCUAGUAAUCGUAGAUCAGCAUGCUACGGUGAAUACGUUCCCGGGUCU
Molecule: ribosomal RNA, 1372 nt
Filed under: uncultured bacterium
Lineage: Bacteria
Description: bacterial SSU rRNA
Rfam family: Bacterial small subunit ribosomal RNA
Source: RNAcentral